This 297-nucleotide long non-coding RNA is filed under the name Cricetulus griseus (Chinese hamster). Its description in RNAcentral is "lncRNA (ENSCGRG00015041166.1)". The record is from RNAcentral. Lineage: Eukaryota; Metazoa; Chordata; Mammalia; Rodentia; Cricetidae.
GAGACAAUUGCCUCAUCUGUGAUGGCAUCGUGCCAGCCUGAUCCUGCAAGUGUUGCUUUGAGACCGCAGGCCAGGGCACUAGCUGGGACACAGCAGGCAGCAGAGGAAGCACCAUGUGGGCUGGCAGAGGAGACGAUGAAAGAGACCUCAGCACUGGAGUCAGAAGAGACUUUGUCUCCAUCCAGUUCUGCUGUAGCAGGGCACCUUUGGGCAACCCACCAUAUUCCUUCAUCUGAGCCAUGGUGCCGCCCUCAAAAAUGGUUGGAAACAUUCAAUAAAAUAAUACAUAUGGAAACA